RNAcentral lists this long non-coding RNA (843 nucleotides) under Nothobranchius furzeri (turquoise killifish). Its description in RNAcentral is "lncRNA (ENSNFUG00015018430.1)". Lineage: Eukaryota; Metazoa; Chordata; Actinopteri; Cyprinodontiformes; Nothobranchiidae. The record is from RNAcentral.
AUGAAGGUACUGCUACUCGGUGUGGUAGGACUCCUGGGCUUCAGUCUGGCUGGAGCUCAGAAUGUGACUAAAUGCUCCCUGAAGAGUCAGCUGAAGGAGAAAAUCGACAACCUGCCAGAGAAAAUUAAGCAAGCAGGACUGACUGCAGACACCUUCGUGGCCAAGCUUGUCUGUUAUGUGGAGAACGGUUCAAACUUCAGCACCAGUGCUGUGACUGAGCUGAGUCAUGACCGUGGAAGUCCUGCCAGCGGGCCCAGCCGGAAGCGCCGCGACACCCUCGAUUUGCUGAGCAAUGGGGACGAAAAGAAGAACGCGACCCUUUACGGCCUUUUCCAGCUCCCCGGGGACCCAGUUUGCAAUGACAACAACAGUCCCAAUGUGUGUGGCAUGGACUGCAGACGCUUGACCGAUGACAAGAUAGACGACGACAUCCACUGUGUGUUGACUCUCAUCGCCAAAAUUGUCGAACAAGGCUUUGGAGCUCAGAACAUCCAGGAGUUAACAAAAGUGUUCAGGCUCAUGAUGCAGCCGCAGUGCAAAAACGCCCACUAUGACGUCUACUUCCACGAGUGUCACUAGUUUCUUACAGUUAGCUCCUUAAACGCCGCUGGACUGCUCAGGCUUGUUUCUCAGCAGUGAUGAAUGAAUAAAAGCAUGAAGCAUGUAGCUCCUGUUGUUGAUGAUGUUGAAAGUAGUAAAACUUGUUUUCCUGUUACCUGAAUAGAUCAUUAAACUGCCCCCGUGCUCCAUGGCUGGAGACUGAUGCCACCUGAGGGCCAUGCAGGCUCACAUUAUUCUCUCUCUCUCUCUCUCUCUCUCUCUCUCUCUCUCUCUCUCUCUCUC